Cyprinus carpio (common carp) is the source of this 378-nucleotide long non-coding RNA. RefSeq lists it as uncharacterized. Lineage: Eukaryota; Metazoa; Chordata; Actinopteri; Cypriniformes; Cyprinidae. The record is from RefSeq and is a predicted model, not a curated record. The transcript has 3 exons.
GCACACCGACAGACUUCUCAUACCUCAGUAUCUCUGCUAAUAGUGCUGAUCACUGCUGCUGGAUCUCUGGUGAUUGUGCCUAUGAUUGUGUUGUUUUGUAUCUGCAAGAAACACAGAGACACAGUUCAUGAAGACGAGACUCCAGCUGCUGCAUUACUCUACAAACACACUGAACUAAUGAUGGAAUCAGAUGUAACGGAGGUGAUUUACACGUGUUUCAUUACAGAACACUGAUCAAACUCUCGCUGAUUCUGCUUCCUCACAAAUCAUGGAUUGAUCACAAUAACUGCAUCUGGCUUUUGCACUCUUACUGUUUCAAAUAGAAUUCUAUUUGUUUUGUCAUUUUUUUUCUCUCUUUUUUUUUCUUUUUUUUUAUUG